AAUCUGUAGUUUAUUUAAAACUUAUCGUUUACACCGAUACAAAAGAUUUUUUUUGUCUCAGAUUUAU
Molecule: transfer RNA, 67 nt
Filed under: Planocera reticulata
Lineage: Eukaryota; Metazoa; Platyhelminthes; Polycladida; Planoceridae
Description: tRNA-Val
Source: RNAcentral